UACGAAGGGGACUAGCGUUGUUCGGAAUCACUGGGCGUAAAGCGCACGUAGGCGGAUAUGUCAGUCAGGGGUGAAAUCCCGGGGCUCAACCUCGGAACUGCCCUUGAUACAGCAUAUCUUGAGUCCGAUAGAGGUGGGUGGAAUUCCUGGUGUAGCGGUGAAAUGCGCAGAUAUCAGGAGGAACACCGGUGGCGAAGGCGGGUCUCUGGAACGCAACUGACGCUGAGACGCGAAAGCGUGGGGAGCAAACAGG
This 253-nucleotide ribosomal RNA is filed under the name uncultured bacterium. RNAcentral describes it as "partial 16S ribosomal RNA". It matches the Rfam family "Bacterial small subunit ribosomal RNA", at positions 524 to 776 of the family's 1533-position model. The record is from RNAcentral.